This 169-nucleotide ribosomal RNA is filed under the name uncultured Sphingomonas sp. RNAcentral describes it as "partial 16S ribosomal RNA". It matches the Rfam family "Bacterial small subunit ribosomal RNA", at positions 338 to 524 of the family's 1533-position model. The record is from RNAcentral. Lineage: Bacteria; Pseudomonadati; Pseudomonadota; Alphaproteobacteria; Sphingomonadales; Sphingomonadaceae.
CCUACGGGAGGCAGCAGUGGGGAAUAUUGGACAAUGGGCGAAAGCCUGAUCCAGCAGUGCCGCGUGAGUGAUGAAGGCCUUAGGGUUGUAAAGCUCUUUUACCCGGGAUGAUAAUGACAGUACCGGGAGAAUAAGCUCCGGCUAACUCCGUGCCAGCAGCCGCGGUAAU